UACGUAGGGUGCUAGCGUUGUCCGGAUUUAUUGGGCGUAAAGAGCUCGUAGGCGGCUUGAUAAGUCGGAUGUGAAACCUCCAGGCUCAACCUGGAGUCGCCAUCCGAUACUGUCAUGGCUAGAGUCCGGUAGGGGCCCACGGAAUUCCUGGUAUCGGUGAAAUGCGCAGAUAUCAGGAGGAACACCGGUGGCGAAGGCGGUGGGCUGGGCCGGCACUGACGCUGAGGAGCGAAAGCGUGGGGAGCGAACAGG
RNAcentral lists this ribosomal RNA (252 nucleotides) under uncultured bacterium. RNAcentral's name for it is "partial 16S ribosomal RNA". It matches the Rfam family "Bacterial small subunit ribosomal RNA", at positions 524 to 776 of the family's 1533-position model. The record is from RNAcentral.